CGUGAGGGAAGAAUGGUCUAUGGCCUGUAAACCUCUUUUGUCAAGGAAGAAUAAGGAUGACGAGUCAUUCGAUGCCAGUACUUGACGAAUAAGCAUCGGCUAACUCCGUGCCAGCAGCCGCGGUAAUACGGGGGAUGCGAGCGUUAUCCGGAUUUAUUGGGUUUAAAGGGCGCGUAGGCGGGACGCCAAGUCAGCGGUAAAAGACUGCAGCUAAACUGUAGCACGCCGUUGAAACUGUUGACCUGGAGACGAGACGAGGGAGGCGGAACAAGUGAAGUAGCGGUGAAAUGCUUAGAUAUCACUUGGAACCCCGAUAGCGAAGGCAGCUUCCCAGGCUCGAUCUGACGCUGAUGCGCGAGAGCGUGGGUAGCGAACAGGAUUAGAUACCCUGGUAGUCCACGCCGUAAACGAUGCUCACUGGAUCUUGGCGAUACACGGCCAGGGUUCAAGCGAAAGUAUUAAGUGAGCCACCUGGGGAGUACGUCGGCAACGAUGAAACUCAAAGGAAUUGACGGGGGCCCGCACAAGCGGAGGAACAUGUGGUUUAAUUCGAUGAUACGCGAGGAACCUUACCCGGGUUUAAAUGUAGAUUGCAUGAGGUGGAAACACUUCUUCCCUUCGGGGCUAUUUACAAGGUGCUGCAUGGUUGUCGUCAGCUCGUGCCGUGAGGUGUCGGGUUAAGUCCCAUAACGAGCGCAACCCCUAUCGCCAGUUGCCAUCGGUUCAAGCCGGGCACUCUGUCGAGACUGCCACCGUAAGGUGCGAGGAAGGCGGGGAUGACGUCAAAUCAGCACGGCCCUUACACCCGGGGCGACACACGUGUUACAAUGGCCGGUACAGAGGGCAGCCACGGGGUGACCCGGAGCGAAUCUCUAAAGCCGGUCGUAGUUCGGACUGGAGUCUGCAACCCGACUCCACGAAGUUGGAUUCGCUAGUAAUCGCGCAUCAGCCAUGGCGCGGUGAAUACGUUCCCGGGCCUUGUACACACCGCCCGUCAAGCCAUGGAAGCCGGGAGUACCUGAAGAUCGUGACCGCGAGGAACGGGCUAGGGUAAUACCGGUAACUGGGGCUAAGUCGUAACAAGGUAGCCGUACCGGAAGGUGCGGCUG
This 1109-nucleotide ribosomal RNA is filed under the name human gut metagenome. Its description in RNAcentral is "bacterial SSU rRNA". It matches the Rfam family "Bacterial small subunit ribosomal RNA", at positions 400 to 1520 of the family's 1533-position model. The record is from RNAcentral.